This 1846-nucleotide long non-coding RNA is filed under the name Homo sapiens (human). Its description in RNAcentral is "HSALNT0186702". The record is from RNAcentral. Lineage: Eukaryota; Metazoa; Chordata; Mammalia; Primates; Hominidae.
CCCCAGGCCGCCCCCAGAUGGUGGAGUCUCUCCCAGCCCGAAGAUUCGGAGCCAGCGCCCAGACCCGAGCCUCACUCACUGCUCACUCCCGGGGUGCAGGGCAGAGGUGCCAGUGUUGCAAGCAAAUGACACGGUUACCCCCGAAUCAGCCACUGUGGAGUUUUGCUCUUUUUGCCCAGGCUGCAAUGGCGUGAUCUUGGCUCACCGCAACCUCCGCCUCCCGGAUUCAAGCGAUUCUCCUGCCUCAGCCUCCCAAGUAGCUGGAAUUACAGAUAAAUGUUUCAGAAUGCUGCCACCAACCAUCCUGCAACCAUGAGUGGCAAGCCCAAGACCAAAAACCAAAUAUUGAGGAUGGCAAAGAAAAAAGAAAGAGACUGGACUGUUGGGGACAUCACUGAGCCACUUUGCCAAACCUGGAGUUGCCUACCUUCAAAAGUUUUGUUAUAUGACAUAAUUAAUCUUUACUGCUUUGCCACUUCUGGUGGAAUAUUUUAUUACUAUCACCAGAAGCAUUUCUUGGCUUCAAUAACACACAUACUCCAGUGUCACCUGCUUCAAGAGCACUCUACUCAUAAUUCUGACUAAUGUACAUUUCCACAUGUCUGACCCAAAGGAGGAAGAGGCAGAGCAAGACGGCUCAAUAGAAGCCUCCACUAAUUGUCCUCCCCACUGGAACACCAAAUUGAACAACUAUCCACACAAAGAAGCACCUUCGUAAGAACCAAAAAUCAGGUGCCAGACAGAAAGUCAUCUCUCUGCUCAACUGAGACAAAUGCAGAUUCAUUGAGCCAGACUAAGGCAUAAGUGACUAUUCCUCUAUGUUCCCCAACAUGUAAAUUGUGGAUUCAGUGAAAGGCUGAUUGAAGAGUCAGAAGAAUGUAACUUUUUGUCUCUUAUCUACCUGGAACCACACCUUAUCUACCUGGAACUGUCCCCUCCCCGCCCCCCCAAUCCCGCCCUGUUUUGAGUUGUCCUGCCUUUCUGGACCAAAUCAAUGCACAUCUUACACAUAUUGAUUGAUGUCUCAUAUCUCCCUAAAAUGUGUAAAAGUGAGCUGUACCCUGACCACCUUGAGCACAUGUUGCCAGGACACAGCCUCCUGAGGGUACAUCUUUAACCUUGGCAAAAUAAACUUUCUAAAUUGAUUAAGGCCUGUCUCAGACACUUUGAGUUGACAAUACACAAAAACUAAAAAGGAAGAAAUUAAAAGAUACCACCAGAGAAAAUCGCAUUCACUAAAAGGAAGACCACAAAACAACCAGAAAACAAAUAACAAAAUGGCAGGCAUAAGUCCUUACUUAUCAAAAAUAGCAUUGAAUGUAAAUGAAAUAAACUCUCCAAUCAAAAGACAUACCAUGGCUGAAUGGAUUUAAAAACAAGACCCAAUGAUCUUUUGCCUACAAGAAACACAUUUCACCUAUAAAUAUAUGUAUAGACUAAAAAUAAAGGGAUGGAAAAAUAUAUUCCCUGCAAGUGGAAACCAAAAAUGAGUAGGAAUAGCUAUACUUACAUCAGAUAAAAUAGAUUUCAAGACAAAUGCUACCAUGCCCAGUUAAAUGUUUUUUUUUUUUAAAGUGUUUGUAGAGACAGGGGUCUUGCUAAGUUGCCCAGGCUGGUCUUGAACUCCCGGUCUCAAGCCAUCUUCCUGCAUCAGCCUCCCAAAGUGCUAUAGGCAUGAGCUACUGGGCCUGCACUGUUUUUCUUUUAAUAUUUUAGAGACAUUGUUCUACUAUCUGCUGGCUUGCAUUGUUUACACUGAGAAUCUUCUGUAAUUCUUAUGUUUGUCCCUCUGUAUGUAAUAUGCCUUUUUUCUCCUGCAUUUUUAACAUUUUCUCUUUGCCACUAA